UGAGGGAUAUUGCACAAUAGGCGCAAGCCUGAUGCAGCAACGCCGCGUGCGGGACGAAGGCCUUCGGGUCGUAAACCGCUUUUCUGGGGAAAGAGCAAGGACGGUACCUCAGGAAUAAGUCUCGGCUAACUACGUGCCAGCAGCCGCGGUAAAACGUAGGAGGCGAGCGUUAUCCGGAUUUACUGGGCGUAAAGCGCACGCAGGCGGCUCUGUGAGUCGGACGUGAAAGCUCCCGGCUUAACCGGGAGAGGCCGUUCGAUACUGCGGGGCUUGAGGUAGGGAGAGGAAUGCGGAAUUCCCGGUGUAGUGGUGGAAUGCGUAGAUAUCGGGAGGAACACCUGUGGCGAAAGCGGCAUUCUGGCCCUCACCUGACGCUGAAGUGCGAAAGCGUGGGUAGCAAACAG
This 404-nucleotide ribosomal RNA is filed under the name uncultured bacterium. RNAcentral's name for it is "bacterial SSU rRNA". It matches the Rfam family "Bacterial small subunit ribosomal RNA", at positions 355 to 775 of the family's 1533-position model. The record is from RNAcentral.